This 107-nucleotide transfer RNA is filed under the name Candidatus Freyarchaeota archaeon. RNAcentral's name for it is "tRNA-Leu". It matches the Rfam family "tRNA". Rfam says of the family: Transfer RNA (tRNA) molecules are approximately 80 nucleotides in length. RNAcentral also lists the same sequence under 2 other names. The record is from RNAcentral. Lineage: Archaea; Promethearchaeati; Candidatus Freyarchaeota.
GCAGGGAUUUCCGAGUGGUCAAUACCCAGCAUUGGUUGGCUAUAGGAGCUGGGCUUAGGACCCAGUGGCGUAGGCCUUCGCGUGUUCGAAUCACGCUCCCUGCACCA